AUAGCGUAUAUUAAAGUUGUUGUGGUUAAAAAGCUCGUAGUUGAACCUUGGGCCUGGCUGGCCGGUCCCCCUCACCGGGUGCACUGAUCCAGCCGGGUCUUUCCCGCUGUGGAACCCCAUGGCCUUCACUGGUCGGGGUGGGGAAACAGGACUUUUACUUUGAAAAAAUUAGAGUGUUCCAAGCAGGCCUAUGCCUGAAUACAUUAGCAUGGAAUAAUAAAAUAGGACGUGUGGUUCUAUUUUGUUGGUUUCUAGAGCCGCCGUAAUGAUUAAUAGGGACAGUCGGGGGCAUCAGUAUUCAAUUGUCAGAGGUGAAAUUCUUGGAUCUAUUGAAGACUAACUACUG
RNAcentral lists this ribosomal RNA (346 nucleotides) under uncultured eukaryote. RNAcentral describes it as "SSU rRNA". It matches the Rfam family "Eukaryotic small subunit ribosomal RNA", at positions 594 to 945 of the family's 1831-position model. The record is from RNAcentral.